AGCUCGUUGGUCUAGGGGUAUGAUUCUCGCUUAGGGUGCAAGUGGUCCUGGGUUCAAAUCCCAGACGAGCCC
This 72-nucleotide transfer RNA is filed under the name Danionella translucida. It matches the Rfam family "tRNA". From Rfam's summary of the family: Transfer RNA (tRNA) molecules are approximately 80 nucleotides in length. Their secondary structure includes four short double-helical elements and three loops (D, anti-codon, and T loops). Further hydrogen bonds mediate the characteristic L-shaped molecular structure. tRNAs have two regions of fundamental functional importance: the anti-codon, which is responsible for specific mRNA codon recognition, and the 3' end, to which the tRNAs corresponding amino acid is attached (by aminoacyl-tRNA synthetases). tRNAs cope with the degeneracy of the genetic code in two manners: having more than one tRNA (with a specific anti-codon) for a particular amino acid; and 'wobble' base-pairing, i.e. permitting non-standard base-pairing at the 3rd anti-codon position. The record is from Rfam by way of RNAcentral. RNAcentral also lists the same sequence under 1 other name. Lineage: Eukaryota; Metazoa; Chordata; Actinopteri; Cypriniformes; Danionidae.